UACCGCAUGAUACCGAGAGGUCAAAGGGGGCUCUCAAGGGCUCUCGCCACAGGAGGGGUCCGCGUCCGAUUAGCUAGUUGGUAGGGUAAUGGCCUACCAAGGCGACGAUCGGUAGCCGGCCUGAGAGGGUGAUCGGCCACACUGGAACUGAGACACGGUCCAGACUCCUACGGGAGGCAGCAGUGGGGAAUUUUGCGCAAUGGGCUAACGCCUGACGCAGCAACGCCGCGUGGAGGAUGAAGGUCUUUGGAUUGUAAACUCCUGUCAGCAGGGAAAAAGCGACUCGGAUUAAUACUCCGGGGAGUUGAUUGUACCUGCAGAGGAAGCCCCGGCUAACUCUGUGCCAGCAGCCGCGGUAAUACAGAGGGGGCAAGCGUUAUUCGGAAUUAUUGGGCGUAAAGGGCGCGUAGGCGGCUUG
RNAcentral lists this ribosomal RNA (418 nucleotides) under uncultured soil bacterium. Its description in RNAcentral is "bacterial SSU rRNA". It matches the Rfam family "Bacterial small subunit ribosomal RNA", at positions 167 to 582 of the family's 1533-position model. The record is from RNAcentral.